AGCAGCCGCGGUAAUUCCAGCUCCAAUAGCGUAUAUUAAAGUUGUUGCAGUUAAAAAGCUCGUAGUUGAAUUUCGGGGUCAGCAAGUUGGUCGUGCCACUGGUAUGUACUGGCUUUGCUGAUUCCUCCUUCUUGUAGAACCGUAAUGCCAUUAAGUUGGUGUUGCGGGAAAACAGGACUGUUACUUUGAAAAAAUUAGAGUGUUUAAAGCAGGCUAACGCUUGAAUACAUUAGCAUGGAAUAAUGAAAUAGGACGACGAUCCUAUUUUGUUGGUUUCUAGGAUUGACGUAAUGAUUAAUAGGGAUAGUUGGGGGCAUUAGUAUUCAAUUGUCAGAGGUGAAAUUCUUGGAUUUAUUGAAGACUAACUACUGCGAAAGCAUUUGCCAAGGAUGUUUUCAUUAAUCAAGAACGAAAGUUAGGGGAUCGAAGACGAUCAGAUACCGUCGUAGUCUUAACCAUAAACUAUGCCGACUAGGGAUCGGAUGAUGUUAAUUUUUUAAUGACUCA
RNAcentral lists this ribosomal RNA (507 nucleotides) under uncultured Glomus. RNAcentral describes it as "SSU rRNA". It matches the Rfam family "Eukaryotic small subunit ribosomal RNA", at positions 569 to 1078 of the family's 1831-position model. Lineage: Eukaryota; Fungi; Glomeromycota; Glomeromycetes; Glomerales; Glomeraceae. The record is from RNAcentral.